CGACUCUCGGCAACGGAUAUCUCGGCUCACGCAUCGGUGAAGAACGUAGCAAAAUGCGAUACUUGGUGUGAAUUGCAGAAUCCCGUGAACCAUCGAGUUUUUGAACGCAAGUUGCGCCCGAAGCCAUUCGGUUGAGGGCACGUCUGCCUGGGCGUCACG
Molecule: ribosomal RNA, 159 nt
Filed under: Symphyotrichum novi-belgii
Lineage: Eukaryota; Viridiplantae; Streptophyta; Magnoliopsida; Asterales; Asteraceae
Description: 5.8S ribosomal RNA
Rfam family: 5.8S ribosomal RNA
About the family: 5.8S ribosomal RNA (5.8S rRNA) is a component of the large subunit of the eukaryotic ribosome. It is transcribed by RNA polymerase I as part of the 45S precursor that also contains 18S and 28S rRNA.
Source: RNAcentral